CUACGGGCGGCAGCAGUGGGGAAUAUUGGACAAUGGGGGAAACCCUGAUCCAGCAAUGCCGCGUGUGUGAAGAAGGCCUGCGGGUUGUAAAGCACUUUCGGUUGGGAGGACUGCUUCUAGCACUAAUAUUGUUGGAAGUUGACGUUACCUUCAGAAGAAGCACCGGCUAACUCCGUGCCAGCAGCCGCGGGAAUACGGAGGGGCAAGCGUUAAUCGGAAUUACUGGGCGUAAAGCGCGCGUAGGCGGCUAGAUCAGUCGGGUGUGAAAGCCCCGGGCUUAACCUGGGAACUGCAUCCGAUACUGUCUAGCUUGAGUACAGGAGAGGAGAGUGGAAUUCCACAUGUAGCGGUGAAAUGCGUAGAUAUGUGGAGGAACACCAAUGGCGAAGGCAGCUCUCUGGCCUGAUACUGACGCUGAGGUGCGAAAGCGUGGGGAGCAAACAGGAUUAGAUACCCGUGUAGUC
This 464-nucleotide ribosomal RNA is filed under the name uncultured bacterium. RNAcentral's name for it is "partial 16S ribosomal RNA". It matches the Rfam family "Bacterial small subunit ribosomal RNA", at positions 339 to 795 of the family's 1533-position model. The record is from RNAcentral.